RNAcentral lists this ribosomal RNA (461 nucleotides) under uncultured bacterium. Its description in RNAcentral is "partial 16S ribosomal RNA". It matches the Rfam family "Bacterial small subunit ribosomal RNA", at positions 339 to 795 of the family's 1533-position model. The record is from RNAcentral.
CUACGGGGCGCUGCAGUCGAGAAUCUUCCGCAAUGGACGAAAGUCUGACGGAGCGACGCCGCGUGCGGGAUGAAGGCCUUCGGGUUGUAAACCGCUGUCAGUGGGGAGGAAAUGCAUCAGGGUUCUCCCUGGUGUUUGACCGAUCCGCAGAGGAAGCGCAGGCUAAGUUCGUGCCAGCAGCCGCGGUAACACGAACUGCGCGAACGUUAUUCGGAAUCACUGGGCUUAAAGAGUUCGUAGGCGGCCUUUCAAGUCGGGUGUGAAAUCCCUCGGCUCAACCGAGGAAUUGCGCCUGGUACUGUUGGGCUUGAGGGGGAUAGGGGUGAGCGGAACUGAUGGUGGAGCGGUGAAAUGCGUUGAUAUCAUCAGGAACACCGGUGGCGAAGGCGGCUCACUGGAUCUCUUCUGACGCUGAGGAACGAAAGCUAGGGGAGCGAACGGGAUUAGAUACCCUGGUAGUC